RNAcentral lists this ribosomal RNA (254 nucleotides) under uncultured bacterium. RNAcentral describes it as "partial 16S ribosomal RNA". It matches the Rfam family "Bacterial small subunit ribosomal RNA", at positions 524 to 776 of the family's 1533-position model. The record is from RNAcentral.
UACAGAGGUGCCAAGCGUUAGGCGGAAUCACUGGGCUUAAAGCGCGUGUAGGUGGGUCGUUAAGUGUCCGCGUGAAAUCCCACGGCUCAACCGUGGAACUGCCGGGCAUACUGGCGAUCUUGAGGCAUUCAGGGGCGAGCGGAACAAGUGGUGGAGCGGUGAAAUGCGUAGAUAUCAGGAAGAACACCGAUGGCGAAGGCAGCUCUCUGGGACGGUACUGACGCUGAGACGCGAAAGCGUGGGGAGCGAACAGG